GACGAACGCUGGCGGCGUGCUUAACACAUGCAAGUCGAACGGAAAGGCCCUGCUUUUGUGGGGUGCUCGAGUGGCGAACGGGUGAGUAACACGUGAGUAACCUGCCCUUGACUUUGGGAUAACUUCAGGAAACUGGGGCUAAUACCGGAUAGGAGCUCCUGCUGCAUGGUGGGGUUUGGAAAGUUUCGGCGGUUGGGGAUGGACUCGCGGCUUAUCAGCUUGUUGGUGGGGUAGUGGCUUACCAAGGCUUUGACGGGUAGCCGGCCUGAGAGGGUGACCGGCCACAUUGGGACUGAGAUACGGCCCAGACUCCUACGGGAGGCAGCAGUGGGGAAUAUUGCACAAUGGGCGGAAGCCUGAUGCAGCAACGCCGCGUGCGGGAUGACGGCCUUCGGGUUGUAAACCGCUUUCGCCUGUGACGAAGCGUGAGUGACGGUAAUGGGUAAAGAAGCACCGGCUAACUACGU
Molecule: ribosomal RNA, 467 nt
Filed under: uncultured bacterium
Lineage: Bacteria
Description: partial 16S ribosomal RNA
Rfam family: Bacterial small subunit ribosomal RNA
Source: RNAcentral